Molecule: ribosomal RNA, 200 nt
Filed under: uncultured bacterium
Lineage: Bacteria
Description: partial 16S ribosomal RNA
Rfam family: Bacterial small subunit ribosomal RNA
Source: RNAcentral
AACGAGCGCUGGCGGCAGGCUUAACACAUGCAAGUCGAACGCCCCGCAAGGGGAGUGGCAGACGGGUGAGUAACGCGUGGGAAUCUACCGUGCCCUGCGGAAUAGCUCCGGGAAACUGGAAUUAAUACCGCAUACGCCCUACGGGGGAAAGAUUUAUCGGGGUAUGAUGAGCCCGCGUUGGAUUAGCUAGUUGGUGGGGU